Molecule: ribosomal RNA, 400 nt
Filed under: uncultured bacterium
Lineage: Bacteria
Description: bacterial SSU rRNA
Rfam family: Bacterial small subunit ribosomal RNA
Source: RNAcentral
GGGGAAUAUUGCACAAUGGGGGAAACCCUGAUGCAGCAACGCCGCGUGAAUGAUGAAGGCCUUCGGGUCGUAAAGUUCUUUGAUUGGGGACGGUAAUGACGGUACCCAAAAAACAAGCCACGGCUAACUACGUGCCAGCAGCCGCGGUAAUACGUAGGUGGCGAGCGUUGUCCGGAUUUACUGGGCGUAAAGGAUGCGUAGGUGGAAACUUAAGUGGGAUGUGAAAUCCCCGGGCUCAACCCGGGAACUGCAUUCCAAACUGGGUUACUUGAGUGCAGGAGAGGAAAGCGGAAUUCCUAGUGUAGCGGUGAAAUGCGUAGAUAUUAGGAAGAACACCAGUGGCGAAGGCGGCUUUCUGGACUGUAACUGACACUGAGGCAUGAAAGCGUGGGGAGCAAAC